RNAcentral lists this long non-coding RNA (1212 nucleotides) under Canis lupus familiaris (dog). Its description in RNAcentral is "lncRNA (ENSCAFG00040005285.1)". The record is from RNAcentral. Lineage: Eukaryota; Metazoa; Chordata; Mammalia; Carnivora; Canidae.
AUGUAUUCUGAAACCCAAGCUGCCUGCAGAGUGGGUGUGGGACCCGCUGGCCCAGGGGCCGGGGAGCCUCUCCCCUACCUGAGGGUACGGCCAGAGCUGUGGAGGUGGGUGCGCUGGGAGAGCGGAAGGGGUAAGCCAUCCUUGAGCCAGCUCACACGGAUGGGUGCGGAGCCCCGGACGGGGCACGCCAUGGUCACCAGCUCCCCGGGCCUGCUCACCAGGGUCCCUGAGCUCUCUGCCCACUGCUCGAUGGUGGGAGGAACUGGGGGUGGGCAGAGAGAUAAAGGGGCUGGUGAGAGGGUUGAGGGAGGGGGUUUGGGCGGGGGAGAUGGGCUCCUCUCAGGUAGAUUCCAGGAAACAGCAGGAGCCACAUCCACACCAGGUGCGGAUGAAGCCCACCAUGUGGGGGCACCCCUCACCCGAAGGCUCUAUUUGCAUCUCCCCCAUUCCCCAGCUCUCCCAUCACACCCCCAGGCUGCAGUGCUUGUGUCUCUAGUCCCAGAACGGGUUGCAGAGGCCCAGGGAGGUCAGAUGGUGGCCCAGCUCACGGUGUGGGCACGGCCGGGGCUUGAACCAAGUCUCCCGCAUCCUGGCCCCGGUAUCACCCUCCAGUGGAGGCCCCACGACGGGCCAGGCUGCCGCAGCCCCGGGAUAGCAGAGCUCCCGCCUGGCCUCAGCCCUCAGCCGCUCACCCAGCACGCUCACUGUGUGCAGCCUGGCGUCCUCCCCGGCCGCGUUGUGGGCCACGCAGGUGUAGGCGCCCGAGUCCUGAGCCUUCAGGCCCUUCAGCACCAGGGCGCUGCCAUCCAGGUAGAACCUGCACGGGGACGGAGAGCCAGGAGCCGGCACGUGAGGGUCUGGGGUGCUGCCUGGGGGCCUCGGGGCAUAGGCCAGGCCUUACCGGAGGUGGGGGCCCACGCCCUGGUCCAGCAGGCCACCGUCCUUCAGCCAGGUCACGUCCGGCGGUGGCUGCCCGUCUGCCUCGCAGUCCAGCCGCACCUCCUGCCCCUCCAGGACACUGUGCUCCUGUGUGGCGCCCAAGCUCCGGAUCCGGGGGGCCACUGUGGCAGGGGCUGUGGUGAGGCCCAGGGCAAUGGCAUGGGGUGCCAAGGGGGUGAGACACUGCGGGUGGAGGGGGCAGACAUACCCAGCACAGCCACCACGAAGUCCUUGCGGGCCUCGGCCUGGGUGUUCUCGGCCACGCACGUGUAG